Molecule: transfer RNA, 88 nt
Filed under: Nitrososphaerota archaeon
Lineage: Archaea; Thermoproteati; Nitrososphaerota
Description: tRNA-Leu
Rfam family: tRNA
About the family: Transfer RNA (tRNA) molecules are approximately 80 nucleotides in length. Their secondary structure includes four short double-helical elements and three loops (D, anti-codon, and T loops). Further hydrogen bonds mediate the characteristic L-shaped molecular structure. tRNAs have two regions of fundamental functional importance: the anti-codon, which is responsible for specific mRNA codon recognition, and the 3' end, to which the tRNAs corresponding amino acid is attached (by aminoacyl-tRNA synthetases). tRNAs cope with the degeneracy of the genetic code in two manners: having more than one tRNA (with a specific anti-codon) for a particular amino acid; and 'wobble' base-pairing, i.e. permitting non-standard base-pairing at the 3rd anti-codon position.
Source: RNAcentral
GCGGGGGUAGCUAAGCCUGGCCAAAAGCAGGGGACUUAAGAUCCCCUCCCUUAGGGGUUCGUGGGUUCGAAUCCCAUCCCCCGCACCA